Molecule: ribosomal RNA, 696 nt
Filed under: Escherichia coli G58-1
Lineage: Bacteria; Pseudomonadati; Pseudomonadota; Gammaproteobacteria; Enterobacterales; Enterobacteriaceae
Description: bacterial SSU rRNA
Rfam family: Bacterial small subunit ribosomal RNA
Source: RNAcentral
UUGUGCCCUUGAGGCGUGGCUUCCGGAGCUAACGCGCUAAGUCGACCGCCUGGGGAGUACGGCCGCAAGGUUAAAACUCAAAUGAAUUGACGGGGGCCCGCACAAGCGGUGGAGCAUGUGGUUUAAUUCGAUGCAACGCGAAGAACCUUACCUGGUCUUGACAUCCACAGAACUUUCCAGAGAUGGAUUGGUGCCUUCGGGAACUGUGAGACAGGUGCUGCAUGGCUGUCGUCAGCUCGUGUUGUGAAAUGUUGGGUUAAGUCCCGCAACGAGCGCAACCCUUAUCCUUUGUUGCCAGCGGUCCGGCCGGGAACUCAAAGGAGACUGCCAGUGAUAAACUGGAGGAAGGUGGGGAUGACGUCAAGUCAUCAUGGCCCUUACGACCAGGGCUACACACGUGCUACAAUGGCGCAUACAAAGAGAAGCGACCUCGCGAGAGCAAGCGGACCUCAUAAAGUGCGUCGUAGUCCGGAUUGGAGUCUGCAACUCGACUCCAUGAAGUCGGAAUCGCUAGUAAUCGUGGAUCAGAAUGCCACGGUGAAUACGUUCCCGGGCCUUGUACACACCGCCCGUCACACCAUGGGAGUGGGUUGCAAAAGAAGUAGGUAGCUUAACCUUCGGGAGGGCGCUUACCACUUUGUGAUUCAUGACUGGGGUGAAGUCGUAACAAGGUAACCGUAGGGGAACCUGCGGUUG